AGGGGCGUAGCGCAGCCUGGUAGCGUACUCGGUUCGGAACCGAGUUGUCGCGGGUUGCGCACUGCAAGGGUUCAAAUCCCGCCGUCCCGACCA
Molecule: transfer RNA, 93 nt
Filed under: Acidithiobacillus thiooxidans ATCC 19377
Lineage: Bacteria; Pseudomonadati; Pseudomonadota; Acidithiobacillia; Acidithiobacillales; Acidithiobacillaceae
Description: tRNA-Pro
Rfam family: tRNA
About the family: Transfer RNA (tRNA) molecules are approximately 80 nucleotides in length. Their secondary structure includes four short double-helical elements and three loops (D, anti-codon, and T loops). Further hydrogen bonds mediate the characteristic L-shaped molecular structure. tRNAs have two regions of fundamental functional importance: the anti-codon, which is responsible for specific mRNA codon recognition, and the 3' end, to which the tRNAs corresponding amino acid is attached (by aminoacyl-tRNA synthetases). tRNAs cope with the degeneracy of the genetic code in two manners: having more than one tRNA (with a specific anti-codon) for a particular amino acid; and 'wobble' base-pairing, i.e. permitting non-standard base-pairing at the 3rd anti-codon position.
Source: RNAcentral